GACGAACGCUGGCGGCGUGCCUAAUACAUGCAAGUCGAACGAACUCUGGUAUUGAUUGGUGCUUGCAUCAUGAUUUACAUUUGAGUGAGUGGCGAACUGGUGAGUAACACGUGGGAAACCUGCCCAGAAGCGGGGGAUAACACCUGGAAACAGAUGCUAAUACCGCAUAACAACUUGGACCGCAUGGUCCGAGCUUGAAAGAUGGCUUCGGCUAUCACUUUUGGAUGGUCCCGCGGCGUAUUAGCUAGAUGGUGGGGUAACGGCUCACCAUGGCAAUGAUACGUAGCCGACCUGAGAGGGUAAUCGGCCACAUUGGGACUGAGACACGGCCCAAACUCCUACGGGAGGCAGCAGUAGGGAAUCUUCCACAAUGGACGAAAGUCUGAUGGAGCAACGCCGCGUGAGUGAAGAAGGGUUUCGGCUCGUAAAACUCUGUUGUUAAAGAAGAACAUAUCUGAGAGUAACUGUUCAGGUAUUGACGGUAUUUAACCAGAAAGCCACGGCUAACUACGUGCCAGCAGCCGCGGUAAUACGUAGGUGGCAAGCGUUGUCCGGAUUUAUUGGGCGUAAAGCGAGCGCAGGCGGUUUUUUAAGUCUGAUGAGAAAGCCUUCGGCUCAACCGAAGAAGUGCAUCGGAAACUGGGAAACUUGAGUGCAGAAGAGGACAGUGGAACUCCAUGUGUAGCGGUGAAAUGCGUAGAUAUAUGGAAGAACACCAGUGGCGAAGGCGGCUGUCUGGUCUGUAACUGACGCUGAGGCUCGAAAGUAUGGGUAGCAAACAGGAUUAGAUACCCUGGUAGUCCAUACCGUAAACGAUGAAUGCUAAGUGUUGGAGGGUUUCCGCUCUUCAGUGCUGCAGCUAACGCAUUAAGCAUUCCGCCUGGGGAGUACGGCCGCAAGGCUGAAACUCAAAGGAAUUGACGGGGGCCCGCACAAGCGGUGGAGCAUGUGGUUUAAUUCGAAGCUACGCGAAGAACCUUACCAGGUCUUGACAUACUAUGCAAAUCUAAGAGAUUAGACGUUCCCUUCGGGGACAUGGAUACAGGUGGUGCAUGGUUGUCGUCAGCUCGUGUCGUGAGAUGUUGGGUUAAGUCCCGCAACGAGCGCAACCCUUAUUAUCAGUUGCCAGCAUUAAGUUGGGCACUCUGGUGAGACUGCCGGUGACAAACCGGAGGAAGGUGGGGAUGACGUCAAAUCAUCAUGCCCCUUAUGACCUGGGCUACACACGUGCUACAAUGGAUGGUACAACGAGUUGCGAACUCGCGAGAGUAAGCUAAUCUCUUAAAGCCAUUCUCAGUUCGGAUUGUAGGCUGCAACUCGCCUACAUGAAGUCGGAAUCGCUAGUAAUCGCGGAUCAGCAUGCCGCGGUGAAUACGUUCCCGGGCCUUGUACACACCGCCCGUCACACCAUGAGAGUUUGUAACACCCAAAGUCGGUGGGGUAACCUUUUAGGAACCAGCCGCCUAAGGUGGGACAGAUGAUUAGGGUG
RNAcentral lists this ribosomal RNA (1489 nucleotides) under Lactiplantibacillus plantarum. RNAcentral describes it as "bacterial SSU rRNA". It matches the Rfam family "Bacterial small subunit ribosomal RNA". The record is from RNAcentral. Lineage: Bacteria; Bacillati; Bacillota; Bacilli; Lactobacillales; Lactobacillaceae.